This 394-nucleotide transfer RNA is filed under the name Streptococcus anginosus. RNAcentral describes it as "partial 16S-23S ribosomal RNA intergenic spacer". The stretch from base 57 to 129 matches the Rfam family "tRNA". Lineage: Bacteria; Bacillati; Bacillota; Bacilli; Lactobacillales; Streptococcaceae. The record is from RNAcentral.
CUAAGGAAAAAACGGAAGCCAUUGAGUUUGUCUUGUUUAGUUUUGAGAGGUCUUGUGGGGCCUUAGCUCAGCUGGGAGAGCGCCUGCUUUGCACGCAGGAGGUCAGCGGUUCGAUCCCGCUAGGCUCCAUUAGGAUAGAAUCCUACUGAACUUAAUAAAGAAGUGAAGUUGCAUAUGAGACUAACUUCUUAGGAAAAAAAGAUAAACUUCCUUGUGUUCGACGAACACAACGUCAGUUUUCUAUUUUUCUACAGAAGUUUUCGCAAGCGAACCGUCUCUUAAUAUCCUAAAAUUAGCACAUUGAAAAUUGAAUAACGAUAUCAAAUAGUAACAAGAAAAUAAACCGAAAACGCUGUGAAUAUUAAUGAGUAUAUGACUGAGAGGUCAAAGAUAA